Molecule: non-coding RNA, 3123 nt
Organism: Nothobranchius furzeri (turquoise killifish)
Lineage: Eukaryota; Metazoa; Chordata; Actinopteri; Cyprinodontiformes; Nothobranchiidae
Source: RefSeq, a predicted model, not a curated record
UGCACUAUGAAACAAUCUUUGCAUGUGAUAUUUUCUUCACAUUUGAAGAAAUGAAAAUGGUAGCGCCCGGAUUGUCUUGUCAGGCAUUUAUAAGAAUGCUGGAUCUAAGAACCGUUCGCUUUGGUCGUACUGGAAAGAUCUCAGCAGACAGCUUCAUGAGAAGUUUUUUUGAGUGGGAGGCUGUGAGAUAGGAAGUUGACAGCCACUGCAAAUCAGAGCCCUUUGCCUGUCCUGCCUGCAGCCCAGAGAUGCUUGCGGUCUCUGUUGAUGGAAACCGCAAACAUUAUCGUUUUAAUAAUGCUGCCAGGUACAAUAAAAUGUCAGCAUAAAGAUCAAACACAUUACAAAUCACAGGUCUUAGUUAAUUAUAGAUUUACAUUUCUGCUUUUUACAGAUGUGAGGAAAAGGCCAUCUUUGAGGGUGUCUUUAUUGCUGACGAUGAGGACGUUACACAAUUUGUGGACCACAUUCAAAGCAAGGCAAAACAUGUGUCUGGGAAAGGUAAAUGUGGUGGUCAAUGGCAGGCGGCCAGAGAAACCUCCUUAAGGUCUAUCAGCAAGCUUGAUGAGGAGGGCCUUGAGCUUGCAGUGUGCCGGCAUGGAGUGCUCCUGCGGGCCCUUAAUAUGUACAGGGGAGAAAUUUUUGCGUAUCCCCUGUACUUGCAACAAAAGCUGCCCAACAGCAGUUUUUUUUGCAUGGAUGUGACCUGCAAAUAUUGGCCUUACCUCCAGAGGCUGGCCAAAAGCUGCCCAGAGCUACAGCCUCUUCUUGAUAUGAAGCCAUUCCUCUCUGUGUUUCAUGCCAAAGCCCAUAACUUCCAAUGUGAAGUGAAAUGGAGUGGAGCAUAUCAGGAAGGGGCGGGGCUAACUCUGGGUGAAGAAGUGGAGCAGGUCAAUGUCUUCCUCUCUCGCAUUGCAGUCACCACGAAGCAUAUGUCAAAAGCAGGUAUGAAAACACGGUAUUUCUAAUUAGGGAUGCACCAAUACCAGUACUGUAUUGGAUGUUGUUGCCGAUCCAGGCUUUGUAGCUGGAUUGGUGGAGAGGUAAACAUGGCUGAUACCGGAUAUUAUAUUAUUUACUGCACUUUAUCCAAAUAAUGAGCAGAGCAAUAAUGUGGCGAACUACAUAACUUUUUACACUGCCACUGACAAAUUAUUUCCACAUUAUGAGUUCUUUUCUGUUCCAAGUUAUAUCAUGUUAGAGGUUUAUUAUGUGUUAUAUAACAAUGUUUUAGUGUUUGCAUUAGUAUUGGUGGAUAUCAGGUAUCAACUGAUCCAAAAAGCCCAAAUAUCGAUAUCAGGACUGAAAAGGCUGGUUGGUGCAUCUCUCUCUUAAUAUUCUUACAGUAUCUCACAAAAGUAAGUACACCUCUCACGUUUUUGUAAAUAUGUCAUUUUAACUGUUUAUGGGAAAUAUCGGAACAUAUGACAACAUGCAAUUAGUCGGUGUACAACUUGUGUAAAUUUGCUGUCCAGUGUGCCUUGUCUAACCAAAAUGUAAGGGGUGUACUCACUUUUGUGAGAUAAUGUAGAUCUACUAUAAAUAUAUAGUAUUUCACUAGCAAGGACCACGCAUGAAGUGCCUGAAAUGUUCUUUAUAAAAACACGCGGUGAUGGAUGAAGGUGUGGAAGGUGAUGGCUAUGAGCAGACUCAGGAUGGGGGGUUCCGUAUCUGAAUAGCAUAGCCGGCUGACUGGAGACCCCCCUACUACAGUCUACUUGAGAGCAGCUGGAGACUGGAAGACAAAAACAUAACCCUGAAGGGAGGGUGUUUGAGAGAACACAGACAAACAGCUGGAGAUGUUUGUGAAGAUAGCAAAUGUGGCUGAGAUGUGGUAAACCUUGAAGUAGAGGUGUGUUUGAGAUGUAGUUGAGUCGUGGUCCUGCUCCCGAACCUACAUUUACAUGUUCACUUAAUGUGUGUCUUUUGUUAAAUGACCAAAAAUACUCUACUGCUUGCUACGGCCCCUGGUUUUACCACCAGUCUGCCUCCAGUUCAUGACCUUGGACAACUCCACUACACCGUACCUGCUAGGGUUCUUCCAUUCAGCACCAUGAAGAGCGACAUUCCCUGAACUCCCUUCAGCUGCAGCCUAUUCAGGACAGGUUUUUUUGUAGCCAGAUGAGGAGAAACAGGCAUAGAGAUAAAGCAGAGGGGCUAGAAAUGUAGCAAGAGAGCUCUAAGGAAGAUUUUGAGAGGUAAACAAGAAGAGUUACCUGAACCAGAUAGCAGGAGGUUGCUGCACACUAAGACAUAAGGCCCUGAGAUAAACUUGGAUUGGGAUAUUGCUGCAGUUGGAGAUUGACUCGGUGUUAGUGAUCCUAAAUCAUUUUGUUACUUAUCUCAGUCUUAAGCCUUUUUUGAGGACUUGAGUUGCAAAUGUUUGGUUUGGGCUCUGUGUUAUUUAGUCUCUCCCUUAUGAACUACUGACCCUGGGUAAGAUAGUUUAGUUUAAUUGAUAGUAGUUAAGAAUAUUUUUUGAGUUGCUUGGUUUUUAUUUUAUUCUAUUUUUCAUUGUUUACCUUAGGUAAGUCUUCUCCCAACUAGAGAGUUUUUAAUCUUGGUUGGGACACAUUUUGUAAUAAACUUUUUUAUUACAAAAAGGUUUAUUAUUGUUUUGAGCCUUCUGGUUCUUUCCCUCCCAAUCUAUUUGCUGUGUUCAUCCCAUCAGGGUUUCCUAGGCCUGUUCGGGUUGCAACAGGGCUUCCAGUACCACCGGAGGCAACGCAUGCCCAUGUAAUCACUGCCUCCAUCAUGUUUCACAUGUAUGUUGUGCUUUAGAUCCAGGGCUUUUCCAAACCUUCUUCAUACUUCUCUCCAUCAUUCUUAAAGACUGGUACAUACGAAUACAUAGAAGGCAAUUUCAAAACUGGGCUGUCUUUUUCAAAAUAAUUUGUAAGGCAAAUUCUAAUCUGUCGGGUUUAUUUGGUCUACACAAAACUGUAUUGUAUACUGUAUUGUAUUGAAAAUGAUAGCAGCCUCCCUUUCUGUUGCAGGACGUUCAGACAUGCUGACACGAAUGGCCAUGUGCUGGAAUCAGCAAAAGACCUCCAAUUUGGCUGUCUUCCUGUCUCACAGAUAUUUGAAAGUAAUAAUGGCAUCAAUUUGUCCUCUAUGAAUAGU